AGGGUUUGAUCAUGGCUCAGGACGAACGCUGGCGGCAUGCCUAACACAUGCAAGUCGAACGAGAAAGUUCCUUCGGGAGCAAUUAAAGUGGCGCACGGGUGAGUAACGCGUAGACAAUCUGCCCUUCAGUCUGGGACAACUUUUCGAAAGGAGAGCUAAUACCGGAUAACAAUGCAUGACACAAGUUGUAUAUUUGAAAGCUUUAUGUGCUGAAGGAGGGGUCUGCGUCCCAUUAGCUAGUUGGUAAGGUAAAGGCUUACCAAGGCAACGAUGGGUAGCGGGUUUGAGAGGACGAUCCGCCACACUGGAACUGAGACACGGUCCAGACUCCUACGGGAGGCAGCAGUGGGGAAUAUUGCACAAUGGAGGCAACUCUGAUGCAGCAAUGUCGCGUGAGUGAAGAAGGCCCUUGGGUCGUAAAGCUCUUUUAUGGGGGAAGAUGAUGACGGUACCCCAAGAAUAAGCACCGGCUAACUAUGUGCCAGCAGCCGCGGUAAUUC
RNAcentral lists this ribosomal RNA (500 nucleotides) under uncultured bacterium. Its description in RNAcentral is "bacterial SSU rRNA". It matches the Rfam family "Bacterial small subunit ribosomal RNA", at positions 8 to 526 of the family's 1533-position model. The record is from RNAcentral.